UGAAACUCUACUUUCAGGAGG
Non-coding RNA from Caenorhabditis elegans, 21 nucleotides. The record is from Ensembl. Lineage: Eukaryota; Metazoa; Nematoda; Chromadorea; Rhabditida; Rhabditidae.